RNAcentral lists this ribosomal RNA (935 nucleotides) under uncultured Ascomycota. RNAcentral describes it as "eukaryotic LSU rRNA". The stretch from base 288 to 935 matches the Rfam family "Eukaryotic large subunit ribosomal RNA", at positions 1 to 664 of the family's 3401-position model. Lineage: Eukaryota; Fungi; Ascomycota. The record is from RNAcentral.
AUCGAUGAAGAACGCAGCGAAAUGCGAUAAUUAAUGUGAAUUGCAGAAUUCAGUGAAUCAUCGAAUCUUUGAACGCACAUUGCGCCUCCUGGUAUUCCGGGAGGCACGCCUGUCCGAGCGCCAUUACACCCCCCAAGCCWUGCUUGAUGUUGGGCCAUGACAURNCCGUCAGGCCCCAAACCUUUAGGCGCCCCCUACUGGCCGCGAGCGUAGCAAGAAUUUAUUUUCCCUCGYUYCGCGUGUCCRRUAGGCGGGCCGCCCAUCGACCCACAAACUUYUACAAGGUUUGGCCUCGGAUCAGGCGGGGAUACCCGCUGAACUUAAGCAUAUCAAUAAGCGGAGGAAAAGAAACCAACAGGGAUUGCCCCAGUAACGGCGAGUGAAGCGGCAUCAGCUCAAAUUUGAAAUCUGGCGUCUUCGGCGUCCGAGUUGUAAUUUGUAGAGAGUGUCUCGGGUGGAGCACCGGUCCAAGUCCCUUGGAACAGGAUAUCAUAGAGGGUGAGAAUCCCGUAUCCGGCCGGCCCCCUCCCCCGCUGUGAGACCUCUUCGACGAGUCGAGUUGUUUGGGAAUGCAGCUCUAAAUUGGAGGUAAAUUCCUUCUAAAGCUAAAUACUGGCCAGAGACCGAUAGCGCACAAGUAGAGUGAUCGAAAGAUGAAAAGCACUUUGAAAAGAGAGUCAAACAGUACGUGAAAUUGUUGAAAGGGAAGCGUAUGCGGCCAGACUUGUCCCCAGUUGCUCARCCCGUCUUYUGGCGGGUGUACUCUUCUGGGGCCAGGCCAGCAUCGGUUUGGGCGGUCGGAUAAAGACGUCRGGAAUGUGGCCCCCCUCGGGGGGUGUUAUAGCCYGGCGUGCAAUGCGWYCAGCCCGGACCGAGGCCCGCGUUCUGCUAGGAUGCUGGCGUAAUGGCCGUAUACGGCCCGUCUUGAAACACGG